Molecule: long non-coding RNA, 3040 nt
Organism: Cervus elaphus (red deer)
Lineage: Eukaryota; Metazoa; Chordata; Mammalia; Artiodactyla; Cervidae
Exons: 4
Source: RefSeq, a predicted model, not a curated record
CCAAAGCAAAUCACGGAGCUGUGCCCAGUAUCGACAGGCUGAAGAAGAACACACCACUCCCAUUGGGUGAACACCGGAAAGUGAUGUGGCCAGAGAGUUUUCCUGAGCUGGGCUGUGUAGCUCUGGUCCCAGUCUACUUUGAAGAAAAACAAGGCGCACUGACCCAAUGUAACACAGUCUUGCAGAUCAGCUAAAGGACCGAUCAGCGCAGAGAAACAUAUUACAGAUAUAUCCACUCAACUGAAAGGAUGUGGAAAUAAACUUGAUGUACAGAAAGAAGGGUCACUUCAAUCUUGGUCCUUCUGCAAAGGAACCAGCAGAAGACAGUGGUGUACCCAGAAGUACGGGGACCCUCUCUGGGAAUCAAGCAAGAUCCAAACACACCGGGAGAAGAGCCUGGAAGGAGACCCGGCCAGAGGAACGUCUGCUCGAGCCCAUUCCACUCCCUCCCUGAAUGCUCCCUAGGUUUCCCACCAUCUCCCCACCCCCAACCCCAGCCUCUCUGCUUCUGCACCUCUAACAUUCAGAGUCGAGUGGAAAAGAAGCCUUUUUCUCAUUCCUUUCAGCACAGCUGAGACAGGCAGUAAUUUUCAGAAGGAACUUCAUUUGAAAUAGCACCACCACAGAAAACACGAAGGGAGAAUGAAAGGGAAAACAACAAAGAAAGCAGAGAAAGCUGUAAAACAAUUAUGCUUACAAAAUAUAGAUUUUGUGUCCAAUGACAGCCAACGUUCCUGCCAGACCCACAAACCGUUUCUUCAGCUCUUUGCUCUCUCUUUCUCUCCCCUGCCCCUUGAGAUCCUGAGCUCACAGAUGUGGGGGAAACUGUGAACAGUCAAUACUGCAAAUGCACCCCCCCCCACCGCCCCCCGCCGUGAUGAGGGCUGCAGCCUCUCCAGGGAGUCAACAUCUUCCAAAGAAACAUUCCUCCCCAGAGACACCCUCUGACUCCUUGUGGGGAUCCUGGUCCAAUUAAAGCCCCUGGGCAGACUGAAUAGAGGUCUGGUGUAAGUCUUGUCCCCACAGGGGGGAACACGAGAUCCAGCAUUCCAGACGUGUUUCUUGAAUGAUCCUCCCCUUCAACCUCCCUGUUCCCACCCAAAUUCAGACCUUUGCUACCUCUUGUUCAAACAAUUUUACUGGUCUGGUCUACAAAUGCUCUGACAUUUUCUCUUUUUGAAGUUUAGUUUGGACCUGAUCAUCUUUCUCCCACAGUCUACCAGAUUAAUUGAGAAUUUUUCCAAUUGAUGAUAAAUGCCAAUCCAACUCCUCAGCCAAAUAUUCCUUGUAAACAUCCUAUGCUUCUGUCAAGCCACAAGAACUAGACACAAUAUUUCUCAAAUGUGCCCCUGCCUUUGUUCCCACAUGUCCUUCCAUGAAGUAUUUCUUGUUUCUCCAAUUCAAUGGGUUGACAAUCCAAACUAUCCUUAUAAAGUCCAUCCUGGGGUGAUUCACUUGGUGAACUCUUCAUGUUUCUCUUGCACUUAUGUUACUCUGAUUUGUAUCAGAAAUAAUUGGAGAAGGAAAUGGCAACCCACUCCAGUACUCAUGCCUGGAAAAUUCCAUGGACAGAGGAGCCUGGUAGGCUACAGCCCAUAGGGUUGCAAAGAGUCAGAUAUGACUGAAGGACUUCCCUUUCCCUUUUCAGAAAUAAUAUUUUACUCUCAUUUACCUCACUCUCUUCCCCAGCUUGAACUAUAGAGUCAUUGAAGAAAGGAAUAAAAUACCUUAGGGGUCAGUGUGGAGAGCAAAAAAGAGACUCUGUAAAUUGCUAGUAUGGAUACUGGCCCACGGUAAGCUCCCCACAAGUGUCAUCAAGAUUUGGAGUAUGAUUCUGGAGUCAAAUGGAACUAGAUUUGGACCUUGACUCCACCACUGACUUGGUAACCUUGAGAAUUACUUACUCUCAUGGAACUUCAGUUCUUUCAUCUGUAAAAAGGGUUACUUACCAUUGUUCCUUCCUCAUGGGGUUGUAAGGGUAAAUUAGAUGACAGAUUAAACUUGAUCAUAGAUAUAAAAAUACUUAGCAAUCUCUUAACAAAAUUGUGCUAUUAUUAUGGGACUUGAGAAAAGUGCUUUGUCUACAAAGUCCUUAGGGAAAAUUUGGGUUGGCACUUCUGUGCCUCAGGUGCAAACACAUCGUACACUUGUGAAUCUGGAUUCUGGGUGGGGGUCCCUGCUCUCCCUCACAGCCCUCCUCCCUCCUUGGGGUAGGCACCUCCUCUUCCCACCCUGUGCUCUGUGACUUUGUCCCAGAUGGAUCCUGCUGGUUCUCAUGCUGGAUGGUAGCUGGCCUGCUGGAAGACCCCAUCAUCAUGUAGCCCUUCUCCAAUGUGCUCACUAUGGUUUUCUGGGGAGGAUGAGGUGAAAGAGUAUUAAGUUUUUUGGCCAUUUUGAAGACACCGCCAGGGAAGCUAUACUUCGGAACUUUGCAUGUAAGGAUGCUUGUGCACUUAUCUAUUUUAAACUUAUUCGUUAGACUUAAAUGGAAGACUGGUUAAUAUUGCUGAUAUGAGUAAAGGAAGGCUGUUUCCACUGUUAAUGUGAGAGUAUCCAUACAACUGGAUGCAACCAGGAAGACUCCAGAAACUGCCCUGCCCAGUUGCUUUGCAGGCUGGUCCUGAUUUCCAGUCCUGGAACAGCAGACGCACACUGCUUGUGGAUAUUAACCAGCCAUCCAAUUGAUAGUCUGAGUUUCCAUCUUUAUUCUGUGGCAAGUAGACACAAUGCAUUGCAGGAAGCCAAGCAAUUAUUUGCAAGUGGGUUAUAUGAUAUCAUCUCCAGCACUUCAACCAAGCUGAAAUCCAAUUCCAUCAGCUGGCUUGGAUUUGGAGGGGAAAUGAAAGUCACAUUUUGGAAGAAUGGGAUGGAUUCUGCGUGUUACAACUGAUACUUCUGCAAAAAAUAUCCAACCAAACACACAAGAAUUCAGUCAUAGAGACAUUCCCUGAUAUCCAGUCCUGUUUAUCAAUCCCCAAAAGUCACAGUUGAAUCCAUGGGUUUAGUAAACUUUUCAUAAAUUUGUAGUAAAUUUUGAUGA